CGCUGGCGGCGUGGAUAAGACAUGCAAGUUGAGCGAUGAACUGAUGAUAGCAAUAUUUGACGGGAUUAGCAGCGAACGGGUGAGUAACACGUAGGAAUCUGCCCCAAAGCUCAGGAUAGCCUGGUGAAAGCCAGGGUAAUACGGAAUGUGAUCUUCGGAUUAAAGGCCUUCGGGUCACUUUGGGAUGAGCCUGCGUUCCAUCAGCUUGUUGGUAGGGUAAAAGCCUACCAAGGCAAUGACGGAUAGCUGGUCUGAGAGGACGGUCAGCCACACUGGAACUGAGACACGGUCCAGACACCUACGGGUGGCAGCAGUCGAGAAUCAUUCGCAAUGGACGAAAGUCUGACGGUGCGACGCCGCGUGGGGGAUGAAGGCCUUAGGGUCGUAAACCCCUGUCGGUUGCAAGUAAGGCUCUACUUACGUAGGGAUUGAUAUUAGCAACAAAGGAAGGGACGGCUAACUCCGUGCCAGCAGCCGCGGUAAUACGGAGGUCCCAAGCGUUGUUCGGAUUUACUGGGCGUAAAGCGUGCGUAGGCUGAGAGAUAAGUUUGGCGUGAAAUCCCCGGGCCCAACCCGGAAAAUGCGCUGAAAACUAUCUCACUAGAGGAUUGGAGGGGAGACUGGAAUUCCUGGUGUAGCAGUGAAAUGCGUAGAUAUCAGGAGGAACACCGGUGGCGAAGGCGAGUCUCUGGACAAUUCCUGACGCUGAGGUACGAAGGCCAGGGUAGCGAAAAGGAUUAGAUACCCUUGUAGUCCUGGCAGUAAACGGUGUGCACUUGCUGUAGGAGGAUUCGACCCCUUCUGUGGCGAAGCUAACGCGUUAAGUGCACCGCCUGGGGAGUACGGCCGCCAAGGUUUAAACCUCUAAAAGAAAUUAC
Molecule: ribosomal RNA, 878 nt
Filed under: Verrucomicrobia bacterium SCGC AAA007-C02
Lineage: Bacteria; Pseudomonadati; Verrucomicrobiota
Description: SSU rRNA
Rfam family: Bacterial small subunit ribosomal RNA
Source: RNAcentral